RNAcentral lists this ribosomal RNA (651 nucleotides) under Salipiger bermudensis. Its description in RNAcentral is "bacterial SSU rRNA". It matches the Rfam family "Bacterial small subunit ribosomal RNA", at positions 108 to 794 of the family's 1533-position model. The record is from RNAcentral. Lineage: Bacteria; Pseudomonadati; Pseudomonadota; Alphaproteobacteria; Rhodobacterales; Roseobacteraceae.
GAGUAACGCGUGGGAACGUACCCUUUUCUGCAGGAUAGCCACUGGAAACGGUGAGUAAUACUGCAUACGCCCUUCGGGGGAAAGAUUUAUCGGAGAAGGAUCGGCCCGCGUUAGAUUAGGUAGUUGGUGGGGUAAUGGCCUACCAAGCCUACGAUCUAUAGCUGGUUUGAGAGGAUGAUCAGCCACACUGGGACUGAGACACGGCCCAGACUCCUACGGGAGGCAGCAGUGGGGAAUCUUAGACAAUGGGGGCAACCCUGAUCUAGCCAUGCCGCGUGAGUGAUGAAGGCCUUAGGGUCGUAAAGCUCUUUCGCUGGGGAAGAUAAUGACGGUACCCAGUAAAGAAACCCCGGCUAACUCCGUGCCAGCAGCCGCGGUAAUACGGAGGGGGUUAGCGUUGUUCGGAAUUACUGGGCGUAAAGCGCGCGUAGGCGGAUCAGAAAGUUGGGGGUGAAAUCCCGGGGCUCAACCUCGGAACUGCCUCCAAAACUCCUGGUCUUGAGUUCGAGAGAGGUGAGUGGAACUCCGAGUGUAGAGGUGAAAUUCGUAGAUAUUCGGAAGAACACCAGUGGCGAAGGCGGCUCACUGGCUCGAUACUGACGCUGAGGUGCGAAAGUGUGGGGAGCAAACAGGAUUAGAUACCCUGGUAGU